Molecule: ribosomal RNA, 253 nt
Filed under: uncultured bacterium
Lineage: Bacteria
Description: partial 16S ribosomal RNA
Rfam family: Bacterial small subunit ribosomal RNA
Source: RNAcentral
UACAGAGGGUGCGAGCGUUAAUCGGAAUUACUGGGCGUAAAGCGCACGUAGGUGGCGACGUAAGUCGGGUGUGAAAGCCCCGGGCUCAACCUGGGAAUUGCAUUCGAGACUGCAUUGCUGGAGUACGGAAGAGGAGGGCGGAAUUCCCGGUGUAGCGGUGAAAUGCGUAGAUAUCCGGAGGAACCCCAGAGGCGAAGGCGGCAUCCUGGCCCAUUACCGACACUCAGACACGACAGCAUGGGGAGCGAACGGG